Molecule: ribosomal RNA, 253 nt
Filed under: uncultured bacterium
Lineage: Bacteria
Description: partial 16S ribosomal RNA
Rfam family: Bacterial small subunit ribosomal RNA
Source: RNAcentral
UACGUAGGGUGCGAGCGUUAAUCGGAAUUACUGGGCGUAAAGCGUGCGCAGGCGGUGAUGUAAGACCGAUGUGAAAUCCCCGGGCUUAACCUGGGAACUGCAUUGGUGACUGCAUUGCUGGAGUAUGGCAGAGGGGGGUGGAAUUCCACGUGUAGCAGUGAAAUGCGUAGAGAUGCGGAGGAACACCGAUUGCGAAGGCAGCUUACUAAACAGAUAUUGACGCUGAGGCACGAAAGCGUGGGGAUCAAACAGG